UGCAGUCGAGCGGUAAGGCCCUUCGGGGUACACGAGCGGCGAACGGGUGAGUAACACGUGAGCAACCUGCCCCUGACUCCGGGAUAAGCGGUGGAAACGCCGUCUAAUACCGGAUACGACACGCCACCUCAUGGUGGCGGGUGGAAAGUUUUAUCGGUCAGGGAUGGGCUCGCGGCCUAUCAGCUUGUUGGUGGGGUAACGGCCUACCAAGGCGAUUACGGGUAGCCGGCCUGAGAGGGCGACCGGCCACACUGGGACUGAGACACGGCCCAGACUCCUGCGGGAGGCAGCAGUGGGGAAUAUUGCGCAAUGGGCGAAAGCCUGACGCAGCGACGCCGCGUGGGGGAUGACGGCCUUCGGGUUGUAAACCUCUUUUACCACCAACGCAGGCUCCCGGUUCUCCGGGGGUUGACGGUAGGUGGGGAAUAAGGACCGGCUAACUACGUGCCAGCAGCCGCGGUAAUACGUAGGGUCCGAGCGUUGUCCGGAAUUAUUGGGCGUAAAGAGCUCGUAGGCGGCGUGUCGCGUCUGCUGUGAAAGACCGGGGCUUAACUCCGGUUCUGCAGUGGAUACGGGCAUGCUAGAGGUAGGUAGGGGAGACUGGAAUUCCUGGUGUAGCGGUGAAAUGCGCAGAUAUCAGGAGGAACACCCGGUGGCGAAGGCGGCUCUCUGGGCCUUACCUGACGCUGAGGAGCGAAAAGCAUGGGGAGCGAAACAGGAUUAAAUACCCUGGUAGUCCAUGCCGUAAACGUUGGG
This 756-nucleotide ribosomal RNA is filed under the name Nocardiopsis sp. DST46. RNAcentral's name for it is "bacterial SSU rRNA". It matches the Rfam family "Bacterial small subunit ribosomal RNA", at positions 56 to 813 of the family's 1533-position model. Lineage: Bacteria; Bacillati; Actinomycetota; Actinomycetes; Streptosporangiales; Nocardiopsidaceae. The record is from RNAcentral.